Long non-coding RNA from Patella vulgata (common limpet), 4306 nucleotides. RefSeq lists it as uncharacterized. The transcript is spliced from 2 exons. Lineage: Eukaryota; Metazoa; Mollusca; Gastropoda; Patellidae. The record is from RefSeq and is a predicted model, not a curated record.
UUGGUUGAUGCUAUAUCGCACCUAGUAAAAACACAAAAAGGUGGUGGAUAAUCUAACGACAAUUCCUGCUCUGCUGAAUAAUCUAAUCACAAUUCCAAUUGCCGAGACCAUUCUAUAGAAAAUUCUGCUGCGAUAGCUAUUCUGACAAAAAAAUUAGUCUGGUGUAGUGGCUAUUCUGCCGAAUAUUUCUACUGUGAUGGGUAAUGUCACGAAAUUCUUGAUAUAAUGGAUAUUCUAAAGAAAAAUGGUGCUGUUGGAACCAAUCUAUAGAAAAUCCUACUGUGAGAACCAAGCUGAAAAGCCAUUCUGGUGUAAUUGCUAAUGUGAAGAAAAUUCUGGUGUAAUGUCUAUUGAGGAAAAUUCUGGUGUACCCAGUUAACAUUCAUGGUUAGAUUUACGUAAAGUUUACGUCAUUAUGGUUAGAUUUUGGUUAGCGUCCAAUAAUGAUCCUUCAUGUAUAUUUGAGCACCCGUGGUGGCAGUAAUGACAAAGAAGUUCUAAAAAGAUUUAUAAUGAAAGUUAGACAACACUACUACUUGCCAAACACUACUACUUGUCACAUAAUGUAAUGAUAUAAAUAUAUAUGUAUCUAUGGUAGCACAAAUAUCAUCAGAAUGUAGGCCAAAGCUUUACAAGCAUUGUAGGCCUAAAAUACUUUCUGUCUGAACUUUUGACAGUCAAUUCUUUGAUGACUAGUUAGUUUAGAGCAGAUAUCCUGUCACAGUAUUAUAUAACAGCUCUUUGGCUUAAAAUUUAAACUGAGUUGUAUCAGUGAGUUGAAAAUCAUCUGUGUUCCUGUUAUUGCUCCCUGCUGCAGCCAGUAAACAAUAACCUUUUGCGUUCCUUACAAAUGUUCCAAUUUUUACUGAUAGAUCAACCAUAGCAAAGAUCUCUAUUAAGAUUAUAUUUGUAAUGUGUGUAACAAAUUCUAUGACAUAGGUAUAAUAUUGGUGUAGUUAAGUAUAUACCAUAUUUAUGCACACAUUUCAAUAUUGGCAUAUUAUUAGUCUCUAUCAUCUAGAAAAAAAUAUUCUAUAUUCUACGAAUAUUAGUGUGGUUGCGUUGUCAACAUUUGAGAAUAAUCGGUCAUAGGCUAGAUUAUCCGGUCUUUUACAUUAUCAUAAACAAAGUCUAAGGGAGGUAACUAGUCCUAAAACAAGAUGUUGACGACCAUGAAAUUUAUAUAAGAAUGCCAUUUCCGAAAAUCCAUUUGAUUGCAUUGUCAGUUCAAUAUCCAACACUCUUAAUUUUUUUUAUUGUAAAAUUUCUCUCUUCAUGGGCCAUAUCUAUGUUGUUUUUUUAUUGAAUCCUAAUUCGUCAUCACUAUUCAUGUUUGUUUAUAAAUGCAAGUGUUAUUGACAACUGUCCCAGACCCUCAUUAUUUAUAUGGCCCAACUUUUCUUCGGGGUACACCGGCACGGUAUUAGACUAGGAUAAACAUUAGUCUUAUAUACCGCCUCUACUUAAUUAUGGAUGUAGGUCGGAAAAAUGUAAAAUUUGGCAAUUUGACUUAUACUCAACAUCGACUUAUGCUAUAACUGUUUCAAAUGACAAGUGCUAAAUGAAGUAUUUAUGUGGUCUUUGGUGAAAGAAAUGAAAUGAAAUGAAAUGGGGUUUAACGUCCUACUGUUCUGCUCCUAACCUGGGCUAAUGAAGACGAGCAUAUGCCAUACAGUGUGCUAUGAGGGAAAUUUUGCCUGGGCAGCGGGGCUACGGCCUACUCUUAUAUCGAAUUCCAACUGCCAAGGGAUCUUUUACGUGCACGUCAAUGUCUACACGGGACCCCGUUUUUUUGUCCCAUAACGACUAGACAGCUGUCCUUGUCAGUCCCUCCGUCCUGCAUCACUGACAAGGGAAACCACGCCGGAAAAUUAGGAUGAACUUUCUCGGCCAAUACAGGGAUCAAACACCCGAUCUCCAGGCUAGCGAGCCAGCGUCUUACCCACUUAGCCACUUGAUCCCCUCCUUUGGUGAAAGAGAGAGAGAGAGAAAUGGGGUUUACUGUCCACUGGACACAAACUAGGUCAUUUCGGGACUAACAUGGUUUAAUUUUUUAUUUACAUAAUUCGCUUGCGCGUAGGGGUCUUUAGCAGGGGGAGGAAACCGGACGACCCGGUGAAAACCCACGAGGUUGGACAGGCGACCCUACUCCUUGCCACGUACAACCGGGGAUUCGAAACCAUGCCAGUCGACUCAAUGACAGACUUUAUGAUACAGCGCGCACACGCUAACCAUUCAGCCAUCCAUCCCCCCCCCCCCCUUUGGUGAAAGAAAACAGAGCUGUGGCUAGUGAAAUGAAAGUUUAACGUCCUACUGUUUUGCUCUGAACUGGGCUAAUGAAGAUGGGCAUACGCCAUACAGUGUGCUAUGUGGGAAAUUUUGCCCGGACAGUGGCACUACGGCCUUCUCUUGUAUCGAAUUCUAACUUCAAGGGCUCUUGUACGUGAACGCCAAUGUGUACAUGGGACCUCAUUUUUUUGUCCCAUUUUAAUGACUAGAUAGCUGUCUUGUCUAGCCCUCUGUCCUGCAUCACUGACAAGGGAGAACCACGCCGGAAAAUCUGGAGUAACUUUCUCGGCCAAUGCAGGGAUCGAACACCCGACCUCCAGACUAGAUAGCCAGUGUCUUACCGACUUAACCAACGUGAUCCCCGUUGUGGCUACAAUUCCUAGAUUUGAAGGUCAGGUAUGAUAUGAAACGAAUAUUUUGAACCGGUUCACCAAUGCAACCAAUCUGUGACGGGUUAACUGAUAGAGGGUUACAUCCUUGAUAUAAAUAUACUUGUCGCAGGUUUUAAAAAUAGAAAGAUAUAUAUAAAGGUAGCUCAAAAUUCAUCUCUACAUGUACAUAGGCCAAGGGGGGGAUCAUGUGGCUAAGUGGGUAAGACGCUGACUCGCUAGCCUUGAGGUCGGGUGUUCGAUCCCUGCAUUGGCCGAGAAAGUUCAUCCUGAUUUUCCGGUGUGGUUUAUCAUUGUCAGUGAUGCAGGACGGAGGGCCUGACGAGGACAGCUGUCUAGUCGUUUGGAUGGGACAAAAAAAACAAGGUCCAGUGUACACAUUGGCAUGCACAUAAAAGAUCCCCUGGCAGUUGGAAUUCGAUACAAGAGUAGGCUAUAGCGCUGCUGCCCGGGAAAAAUUUCCCUCAUAGCACACUGUAUGGCGUAACCUUUUGCGUCUCUUCAAAAUAUUUCAAAUCUUUUGUCAUGGAUCAACCAUUGCAAAUAUCCGUGUUACAAUUAUAUUUGAAAUGUGUUAAACCAAUUCUGCAACACAUGUAAUAUUGGUGUAGUAUAUAUCUUUGUUUAUACACCCACAUAUCAAUUUUGGCCCUGUUUGUCCGUACACUGGGUGUGAAAUGUGAAUCAUUCCGAUUGUGAGAGGACAAGCAUUAUCAAUAUACAGCUUUUCAGGACUUUGCCUUCCUUGGUUAAUUCUCCUUUUUUCAAAUGCAAUAGAUGCUGUGUUUAUUCUUAAUUGAUCUUUUUCAAAUUUGUGUUACACACUGGAAUCAUGAGAGGACGAAACCUAUCAAUAUUCAGUAUUCCACAACAAUCCAUUCCAGUGUCGGCCGAGAAAGUUCUUUGUGAUUUCCAGACUUGGUUUCCUCCCCUUGUCAGAGGUGCAGGACAGAGGGCCUGACAAGGAGGGACAGCUGUCUAGUCGUUUGGAUGGUACGAAUGACCGAGGUCCUGUGCACACAUUGGUUCGCACGUGAAAGAUCCCUUGGCAGUUUGAAUUCGAUAUAAGAGUAGGCUUUAGCGCCGCUGUCUGGAUAAAAUUCCAUAAUAGGACACUGUAUAGCAUAUUUCCAUGUCAUUAGCCCUGUCGGAAUAGGACAUUAAACCCCAUUUCAUUUCACUCAUUCCAAAGUUAACUCCUAUUCCAUCAAUACCUUGAGCAAAUAAGAUAGAGGCUAUAGGUUUUGGCCCAAUUUGGUCAAUAUCCCAGUUUUUUCUUUCUUAUAUGCAUAUCAACACUUUCAUAGCGCUAAUGUAGACCUUUUUCUUGAACAUUUUCCCUUGUCAGUGAUGCCGGACAGAGGACCUGACAUGGAUGGCUGACUAGUCAUACGGAAGGGACAAAAAAAAAACCCAAGGUACAGUGUAAACUCAAGUGUGUGUGUGUGAAAGAUCCCUUGGCAGUUGGAAUUUUAUAUAAGAGUACGCCAUAGCUCUGCACACUGUGUGGCAUAUGCCCGUCUUCAUUUCUCUAACAGCUGUGGAUAAAAACUGUUAAUAUUUAAAUGUGUAUUUUGUAUUUUAUAACAUUAUAUUUUUGUCUUUUAAAUAAAGUAUAUGUAUACAUA